UCUGGUCCAUUACACCCUUAGCCACUGUGUCUCGGGGCAGGACUGGUUAAUGUUGAUGAUCAAGGAGUGUUGAGGACAGGACCUGGUACAGGCCAUGCUAUUUUGGAGGGUUAUGCCAUAGACAUUUGUGGUAUCUACCAAACACUGCUGAUCAUUGUGGAGGUAAGAGUGGAGCAUGUGUCCAUUCCUCCCGCUGAUAGGCUCCUCACUAAUUGGUCUGAAGUCUCAUAAUAUACAGCCAGAGCGGAUCUGAACACAGCUCAACGCAAUCUAGAGCAGUGGGGAGGCCAUACAACCUGAGGCAGAGCUACUGCGCUCGCUACACUUUGGCGCCCCCUAUCCAGAGAUGAGAAUACUGCAGGCUCUCUUUAAUGCAGCACCCUUCAACACACUGGUUCAGUCAGACACCCCAGACAUUGUGUUAUCUGAUGCGGUCCGGUCAGAUGAAGACCCCACCCUCCUCCUGAUUUCAGUCUAUCCAGCCUCACAUUUCCUGGAUCACGUACCAUCUACAGCAAGCAUUACUCUGUCCACAGACCUCUCUCCACUAAAGCACUUUGUGUUGGUGACAGCCUGGAUUCAGGUUAGAGAGCAAGAGACACUCUUUUCACAAUGUUCUACAUGCACACUAAUGUUCAACAGUUUGGGGUCAGUAUGAUAUAUUUGUAAAGAAAUUGGUAUUUUUCAGCAUUAAAUUGUGAAAAAAAUGACAACGAUUCUAUUUCAAAUAAAUACUGUUCUCAGAUCCCUGCACAUAACAUGCAGACAAAAAUAUAUUUAUUGUGAGCACAAAUGCGUUCUUUCAUUUUGAAUUUAUUCCCUUGUUUAAGCUCAUGGCCAUGAUCUACUACUCAUACACUUGUUAAGUCAUGGCCGCAAAUUGAGAAUUUAAUAAAAAAAUUAAGGCCUGAAAAAAAUACAAAUUGGGGACAUUUACAACAAAUUAGUACAGCGUGGCCACAAUUUAGUAAAAUAAGGGAAAGGAUUGAUAAUUUGUGGGACAAAUUCAUAAUUUGAUCAAAUAAAUACAGACCUAUAGUGUGAAAAAAAAAAAAAUAUUGUGUUAACCCAAAACUUCUGAACAGUAGCGCAACAUAUCUGUUUCUGAAACUGAAAAUGUUCAUUUGUAUGUUCAGGUCAUCUUGGAACAAAUUCUGGACACUUGUUCAUUUCAGUAUUUUGUUUGCUGUACUGGCCGCUGCUACUGCUCUUUUCAUUGGUAGAGUCACACUUAAUAAGAGUUUUACCUUCAGAUUCUGUGCUACACUGAAUACGCGUGAUGCCCAGUGAUUCAUUUCAAAGUCAUCAUGUGAUUCAGAAUCAGGAUUUGAAGAUUUGGCCCUGCAGAGUUUUUUAUUCUCUUAAAUGUUUGAUUUCCACAGUGAACAAAACCAUGCAGUCCUCACACCCUCUACAACUGCAGGUGAAACCCAAUUAUAUUUGAAUCAACUGCUUUACCUUAAACGUGCUCUUUUAGUACUUUUUAUGUUAGUUAAUUGAAGUUCCACCUUGUCUUUUUAAUAAAUGAUCUUUUUGUGAAUGAUUCAUUCCUCCGUAUUUUUUAUUUUUUUCAAUGAAAUGUCAUAUAUCAGUCUUAUGGUGAAACCAGACUUUUCUCUGGUGAUGUAUGAUAUACUUCAUUUAAUCGUAAUCCAUUUAAAUGCUGUCCCUUUCUAACAAUCAUCUCCAAGCUCAUUUAGAUCUACUUCCAUCCAAUCAAGACCCGAUGGAUUAAACAAAGUCCCUGCCCCGCAUUGUUUUCUUUUGGAUAAUCAUUUUCACAGAUGAACAUCACAUACAGAAGAAAAGUCACUGAGUGGAGUAAUUAUGCAUAUUAUGCAUAAUUAUGCAUAUUAAUUAGCAUAUUAUGGUUCAAACGUACUAUCAGACCCAUAUGCUUUUUUUCCAAUGAAUAUCUUUUCAGAAAAACAUCUUUCAGAAAACAUUUCUAUAUGUGGCUCGCACCAUUGCUGGCAACACCAGAAGUCCUGCAGAGAAAACGGUGCAUCUUUUCUCCCCUGAUGUUAAACUUUGUGAGCCACAGUGAGAAUCUGUCAAAUAAAUGAUUCUUUCAUUUAUUUGUCUCUUUUCAAUUCAACAGUUAACACGUGCAAAUUACUUCAGUUUUUUUUUUACCAGUUUUACUAACACUUCCUAUCUUUCUUACUCUAAAAUUAAAGUAUUUUUUUAUAAUGCUUUUAUUCUGCAAUGAUGCAUUAAAAAUGCAUCAAAAGACACUUCUAACAUUCAUAAUUCUUUAAACAUUCAACAUUCAUAAAAUUAUUCAAUGGAAUUCUGUUCUUUUUAACUUUUCAACUUGAAUCCUGAAAAAAACUAAAUGUAUAGGAUUCCACAAAAAUAAUAGGCACAACCAUUAAAACAAAUGCUUCUUGAGCAUAAAAACUGUGUAUUAG
Carassius auratus (goldfish) is the source of this 2414-nucleotide long non-coding RNA. RefSeq lists it as uncharacterized. The transcript is spliced from 4 exons. NCBI's taxonomy places the organism in Eukaryota, Metazoa, Chordata, Actinopteri, Cypriniformes, Cyprinidae. The record is from RefSeq and is a predicted model, not a curated record.